CCAAGAUCUCAACAUGUAGGGGAGCAAGCAGACAAUCAAAGCUUUAACGCCAAUUAGAGAAUGACCAAGAUUGGACUAGCCUCGUGCAUGACGGUUCUCGACCACCAAGUAACGAAUCAGUAAUCAUCUCUUAUGGUCGACGAGUCAAAGGAAAACAUGCAAAUCACACUAGAAUACUCUCAGAUUGACUGAUAACAGAAACAAAUCAACACUGGAAGUCACUCGGGCAAAACAUCGAACACCUGAUGGACAUGAAAUUUCAAGUGCUCGGAACAGAAUACUCAACAAAUUAUCGAUGACGAGUAUAGAGAGAGGUGUUCAUUUUAAACAUUACAAGACACAAAAUCGACGAAUCGGAGGACAGGCGUGCACUGAGACAUGCUCGGCUAAAACCAAAAUAGAGCAUAGGAGAGGGGAUGCGUGGCCAGAGCCGUCACUGGUCGAGAUUGAUGAUCGCCCGAAGGAGAGAGAUCGUAAUGGACAGUAAAGACGGGACCUAGAACCGUCAAAGGGAGGGAGAAACAAAGACUGCGUACUUCAGCAGCGAUGGCUCUGAAAUAGGGGCGAACGGAGCCUCUUCACGGCCGCGGAACUGGUGGCGAUCGUGCGACUACCGGUGGUUGAAAUUGACGCGACUGACUGAGAGGGAAUUGGACAAGGCCCUUUCAAUUAUGAACGAAU
Molecule: long non-coding RNA, 681 nt
Filed under: Eucalyptus grandis
Lineage: Eukaryota; Viridiplantae; Streptophyta; Magnoliopsida; Myrtales; Myrtaceae
Description: long non-coding RNA (EGRA_LNC002094)
Source: RNAcentral